Molecule: ribosomal RNA, 438 nt
Filed under: uncultured bacterium
Lineage: Bacteria
Description: bacterial SSU rRNA
Rfam family: Bacterial small subunit ribosomal RNA
Source: RNAcentral
CAGUGGGGAAUUUUGGACAAUGGGCGCAAGCCUGAUCCAGCCAUGCCGCGUGCGGGAAGAAGGCCUUCGGGUUGUAAACCGCUUUUGUCAGGGAAGAAAUCUUGCGGACGAAUACUCUGCGAGGAUGACGGUACCUGAAGAAUAAGCACCGGCUAACUACGUGCCAGCAGCCGCGGUAAUACGUAGGGUGCAAGCGUUAAUCGGAAUUACUGGGCGUAAAGCGUGCGCAGGCGGUCGUGCAAGACAGAUGUGAAAUCCCCGGGCUCAACCUGGGAACUGCAUUUGUGACUGCACGGCUGGAGUGCGGCAGAGGGGGAUGGAAUUCCGCGUGUAGCAGUGAAAUGCGUAGAUAUGCGGAGGAACACCGAUGGCGAAGGCAAUCCCCUGGACCUGUACUGACGCUCAUGCACGAAAGCGUGGGGAGCAAACAGGAUUAGA